CCUGCAUCUCCCUUGUCUCCUGCAUUCCAGGUGGGUUCUUUACCCUCUGAGCCAUCGGGGAAGACGUAAAACCUCCCCAGUUUCCAGUACUUUUGAGUGUAUAUAGUUUCCAUGGCAUUUAAACAAACGAAGAGAAACACAAACUGUUAAUAAUUUACCUAUGCAUUGCUCACAAGGGCUCCUUCUGGGUCAGUGUAAAGAUAAGCCAUCUCCACUAUUUAUGAAGAUCCUAUGCUGAAGCUUUGGGGUAUUUUUUUUUUUUCUUAUAUUAUCUGUGGGACUAGAAAUCUUAUAUGGGCAAUAAAAGUUCUAAACAGUUUCCUUGCCAUGUAGUGAGCUGUAUAUAUCAAAUUGAGUUUAAAAUGUACCCAAGUGAGAUAAAUUGGGUUAGGAUGAAUCUGUUUAGAAGCUUUAUUUCAUUUGAAUUCAGACUCACUAUGAAGUCAGAACAUCACUGGUUUGAUCUAUUUUGGCUUCUAAGACCACAUCCCCAAGUCCCUCAAGACCAUGGCUCGGGGCUCUGUAAGGACCAUCUCCCCUCCCCCACCCCCAUGGUCCCCUGCAGUCUGUGGCAAAUGACAUCGACAGUCCUUUCAACUCAGUUUACCCAGCAUUUAUGGAGCAUCCGGCUGUGUGCUUGGUGGGUUUGGGGAGAUUUUCAAUGGUAUAUAGUGAGAGACCUGUCUUGUAGAACUUGAAGUUAAUAAACUCCGUAUGCUUUAUUGGUUGUCUAAUGUUAUGAAUAAUUGAUUGUUUACAAAGCAGUUCACUUGUCAUUGUCCCAUCAAACCUGCCUUUCCAGGUGUAUUGCCCUAAUCUCAUUAUACAGAGUGGAAACGGAAGCUGGAGAGGUCGAGGAACUCACCUUGAGACGUCAUACAGGGCCAGGAGCGUGCCUGGUUCUCCUGCACUCUCUCUAUCUGAUGCUGCAGCUGGCAUGAUACAUGCUUGGGAGGAGAUAUCUCACAGCCUGCCACAGAUGGGAGAAGGAAUCUCCUUUCUUCAAUGCCAGCCACCCCCACGUAGUGCCCAGAAUGAGCGCAGGCACCAUGGAUUCAAUGACGAUGCAGGAUGCCGUCUGUGCAUCAUGAUCAAGGAAGUAGAGUACAAGGUGAGUUAUAAAAAAGAAAUGAAAAGGGAUGAAAGUGGUUCCAAUGGCCUUGCAAAUAGGACUCAAUCUGUGUUACAGAACCAAUGAGACAAAAAAACCAUGGCUCAUGAAAAUGAUGGAGGAACAAUCUCUCCUGUCCAGGAUAGCAUACACCACCCUCCCCUCGUCACCCCUGAAGCUUAGUCUUCUUUCUGCCCGGUUGCUAGCUUCAGCUGACCCUGUUUUUCUCAGGAUACCUAUGGCCAUGUGAAGUCACUAGAUAUAAAGCUGGAAACCAGAGGCAAUGCCAAACCCUGAGAGGCAUCUCACAAGUGAUGGGUCUAGAAGACCUCUGUUUUCAAUACUGUCAUGCAAUCACGUAUGAAUGGAACCUUCUUGGAAAAUGCCAGUGAAUGCCUUGUUCCCAGACUUAUCAAAGGACUGAACGGACAAUAUAGCAUUCGGGAUCAAGACGAGAAGUUUUCCAUGUUGGAACUCUCUUUCUGGUCUGGGUGACAAGCCACAGUACCUUUGACCUUGUGGACAAAAUGUUAUAUGCCCCUAAAAGUUUUUUUUUUGUUGUUCUUUUUGGUUUUACAUCAUCAUCAGAAUUACUUUCCUAAAGGUUAGCUCAUGGUUAGCUCAUUCCCUCCUUUCAAA
Molecule: long non-coding RNA, 1750 nt
Organism: Bubalus bubalis (water buffalo)
Lineage: Eukaryota; Metazoa; Chordata; Mammalia; Artiodactyla; Bovidae
Exons: 3
Source: RefSeq, a predicted model, not a curated record